RNAcentral lists this transfer RNA (87 nucleotides) under Mycoplasmopsis bovis. Its description in RNAcentral is "Mycoplasma bovis tRNA-Leu". It matches the Rfam family "tRNA". Rfam says of the family: Transfer RNA (tRNA) molecules are approximately 80 nucleotides in length. Their secondary structure includes four short double-helical elements and three loops (D, anti-codon, and T loops). Lineage: Bacteria; Bacillati; Mycoplasmatota; Mycoplasmoidales; Metamycoplasmataceae. The record is from RNAcentral.
GCCCGAGUGGUGAAAUUGGCAGACACGCUUAGACUAAGGAUUCUAGUGAGGCAACUCAUGCAGGUUCAAGUCCUGUCUCGGGCACCA